UACGUAGGGUGCGAGCGUUGUCCGGAAUUAUUGGGCGUAAAGAGCUCGUAGGCGGUGUGUCGCGUCGGCCGUGAAAACCUGGGGCUCAACUCUGGGCGUGCGGUCGAUACGGGCAUCACUGGAGUUCGGCAGGGGAGACUGGAAUUCCUGGUGUAGCGGUGAAAUGCGCAGAUAUCAGGAGGAACACCGGUGGCGAAGGCGGGUCUCUGGGCCGAUACUGACGCUGAAGCGCGAAAGCCAGGGGAGCGAACGGG
This 254-nucleotide ribosomal RNA is filed under the name uncultured bacterium. Its description in RNAcentral is "partial 16S ribosomal RNA". It matches the Rfam family "Bacterial small subunit ribosomal RNA", at positions 524 to 776 of the family's 1533-position model. The record is from RNAcentral.